AACUCGUAUGUUUGUUCCUCCAACCUGAUGCAUUGAAUAAACUGUAAAAGGACCUAUCGUUUGCAGUGAAUUUCAAAUAAAAGCUCCAAAUGUGAGGAUAUAUAACUCUUGAGAUAGAAGUUCUUGAGACUGACAUAACACAACACUGUCAUCCUAGCACAACAAUAAAUUUAGCGGAAAAGAUUCUACCUUGAGCACCAAGGAACACUUUGUAGCAAUAAAAAGCAAUUGACAUAAUUAAUGAACUACAAUAAACAUCAUCAAAAUUGACACUCCUAAGUACUAACUACUAUGUCCUGUUGAAAGACUUCUCCACUCUUUUGAGCUGGCACAAGGUGCAUAUUGAUAUUCAAGAAUCUUCGUGGAUGAUUCAUUGUACAUGUAAAGCCCCAUUUUUAACUAGGAAACAGAAUGAGAAAGCCGCUAGCAUAUCAUGCACAUCAAAUUCAAGCUACUAGUGAUGUAGAACAAAAUAAAAAAUCAAAGCAAAGAAAAAUAAAGAACUAGGAGAAAUCAAUGGCCAAUCCUUGGAAAAAGAGAACCAAUUCUCAAUAAUUUUAUUUAAUCUCAAUAAUAAUCCAAAUCCAAAGCUAUUGAAUAAUAACAAUUAGCUCUAUUUAUAGAGCUU
This 628-nucleotide unclassified non-coding RNA is filed under the name Hevea brasiliensis (rubber tree). Lineage: Eukaryota; Viridiplantae; Streptophyta; Magnoliopsida; Malpighiales; Euphorbiaceae. The record is from RNAcentral.